RNAcentral lists this long non-coding RNA (5154 nucleotides) under Homo sapiens (human). RNAcentral's name for it is "HSALNT0007988". Lineage: Eukaryota; Metazoa; Chordata; Mammalia; Primates; Hominidae. The record is from RNAcentral.
UUUGAGACUUGCCUGGGCAACAUAGUGAGACUCUGUCUCUAUUUAGAAGAAUCAAUAUAAAAGAGUAAGAUAAAGAACUACCCGUAAAUAUGUAUUAAGAGAUUGUUAUGGACUGAAUGUUUGUGUCCCCUCGAAAUUCAUAUGCUGUAGCCCUAACCUCCAAUGUGAUGGUAUUUGAAGGUGGGGCCUUUGAGAAGUACUUAGGUUUAGAUCAGGCCAUGAUAGUGGACGCCUUGCAGUGGAUUAGUUUCCUUAUAAGAGGAGGGACAGAGAGCUCUGUCUUUAUGAGCACACACCAAAGAAAGGCCAUGUGACCAUACAGUGAGAUGUCAGCUGUCUGCAAGCCAAGAAGACGGCCCCACCAGAACCUCACCAUGUUGGCACCCUGAUUUCAGACUUCCAGCCUCCAGAAUGGUGAGAAAAUAACAGCCUGUUGUUUAAGCCACCCAGUCUAUGAUACAUUCUUAAAGCAGCCUGAGGUGACUAAGAGAGAAGUUUACUAGGAAUGGGUAUAGAAAUUUUAUUUAAAUGUAUUUUCUGGGGUUUUUUUUUGUUUUUUUUUUUUUUUUGAGACAGAGCCUCGCUCUGUCACCCAGGCUGGAGUGCAGUGGUGCAAUCUCGGCUCACUGCAACCUCCGCCUCCCGGGUUCAAGCGAUUCUCCUGCCUCAGCUUCCCGAGUAGCUGGGAUUAUAGGCACCUGCCACCAUGCCCAGCUAAUUUUUGUAUUUUUGGUAGAGACGGGGUUUCACCACGCUGGCCAGGGUGGUCUCAAACUCCUGACCUCAGGCGAUUCGCCCGCCUCGGCCUCCCAAAGUGCUGGGAUUACAGGCGUGAGCCACCGCGCCCAGCUGUGAAAUGUAUUUUCUUUUUUUUUUUUUUUGAGACAAAGUCUUGCACUGUCACCCAGGCUGGAGUGCAGUGGCGCGAUCUCGGCUCACUGCAACCUCCAUCUCCCAGGUUCAAGCAAUUCUCCUGCCUCAGCCUCCCAAAUAGCUGGGAUUACAGGCGCCUGCCACCACACCUGGCUAAUUUUUGUAUGUAUUUUGAGACGGAGUCUCGCUCUGUCACCCAGGCUGGAGUGCAGUGGCGUGAUCUUGGCUCACUGCAACCUCUGCCUCCCGGGUUCAAGCGAUUCUCCUGCCUCAGCGUCCUGAGUAGCUGGAACUAUAGAUGCACCCCACCACGCCCAGCUAAUUUUUUGUAUUUUUAGUAGAGUCAGGGUUUCACCGUGUUAGCCAUGAUGGAUUUUUGUAUUUUUAGUAGAGAGAGGGUUUCACCACAUUGGACAGGCUGAUCUCGAACUCGUGACCUCAAGUGAUCUGCCCACCUCGGCCUCCCAAACUGCUGGGAUUACAGGCGUGAGACACCACGCCUGGCCAAAAGGUAUUUUCGUUGUUUUUUUUUUUUUUUGGUUUUUUGAGACAAGGUCUCACUCUGUCACCAAGGCUGGAGUGUAGUGGUGUAAUCUCGGCUCACUGCAAUCUCUGCCUCUUGGGUUCAAGCGAUUCUCGGGCCUCAGCCUCCCUAGUAGCUGGAAUUACAGGCGCAUCCCAUCAUGCCAGGCUAAUUUUUGUAUUUUUAGUAAAGAUGAGGUUUCGCCAUGUUGACCAUGCUGGUCUUGAACUCCUGACCUCAAGUGAUCCGCCCACCUUGGUCUCCCAAAGUGCUGAGAUUACAGGUGUGAGCCAUCACUCCCAGACUAAAUGUAUUUUCAACAUUAAUAAAGGUGAUUAUAUAUAUAGUUUCUCUUUUGACUUAAUAAUUACAUUACAAAAUUUCUUUCUUUUUUUUUGAGACGGAGUCUCACUCGGUCCUCCAGGCUGGAGUCCAGUGAUGCGAUCUUAGCUCAUUGCAACCUCUGUCUCGGUUCGAGUGAUUCUCCUGCCUCAGCCUCUCAAGUAGCUAGGAUUACAGACACCCGCUACCACACUCAGCUAAGUUUUUUUUUUUUUUUUUUUUUAAUGUAGAGACAGGGUUUCGCUAUGUUGGCCAGACUGGUCUCAAACUCCUGACCUCAAGUGAUCUGCCCGCCUUGGCCUCCCAAAGUGCCAGAUUACAGGCGUGAGCCACUGCGUGUGGCCCAAAAUUUCUUAAUAUAGCACCAUCUUUGAUUCUUCAAUUUCUGGAAUAAACUCCACUUGAUCUUGUGUAUUAUUCUUUUUUUUUUUUUUUUUUGAGAUAGAGUUUCACUCUUGUUGCCCAGGCUAGCGUGCAAUGGCACAAUCUCUGCUCACUGCAACCUCUGCCUCCCGAGUAGCUGGGAUUAUAGGCGUGCACCACCACGCCCAGCUAAUUUUUGUAUUUUUAGUAGAGACAAGGUUUCACCAUGUUGGCCAGGCUGGUAUCAAACUCCUGACCUCAGGUGAUCUGCCCAGCUUGGCCUCCCAAAGUGCUGGGAUUACAGGUGUGAGCCACCAUGCCCAGCCUGCUGGCACACAUUCUAAAGAGAGCCAACUGGCACAACCUGAGGACUUCUGAGAGGACCAGAGCACCAGUGGCCUCCCCAUCCACCUUCCCUCCCUUCUCCUCCAGGUUACCUAAGGGAACCCCAGAGGAAUUCAAGGAGGAUGGGGUGAUUCUGAAGCUACGGUCCAGCAUGGCAUGCUAUGGUCUUGAAGCCUAUGAAAUUCACUCUUCAACAAACUUGGCAUCUACGUUAAGCAUGUGAAUGUACAGAGUUAUCAAUCAACAAUAGCCUUUAAGAUUAUUGUAAUCCCCUAAGUACUUCGGCCCCAGGUAGCCACCCACUGCUGGAUGUCAGAGGACAUCACGGUGCUCUUUCCUGCCUGCACCCCUAGUCUGGAAUGCUUACCCCACAUCUCUGCUGAGUGAACUCCUUCCUAUUCAUGCUUCAAGACCCAGCUCAGUCCUGGCUCAGCUGACCCCUUGGUUCCUGUGUCUGUUCCCUGCUGGGCUGUGAGUGUUUUUAUAUUUUGUUUUUCUUAUGUCCAUUUAGAUUUGAAUAUGAAUGUUUUAUUUUAUUUUACUUAUUUUUUUAUGUUUCUUUGAGACAGAGUCUUGCUCUGUUACCUAGGCUGGAGUGCAGUGGUACAAUCUUGGCUCACUGCAACCUCCGCCUCCUGGGCUCAAGCAAUUUUCAUGCCUCAGCCUCCCAGUAGCUGGGACCACAGGCACCCACCAUCAUGCCCGACUAAUUUUUUUUGUAUUUUUAGUGAUGGCCUCAAGCGAUCCUCCCGCCUCAGCCUCCCAAAGUGUUGGGAUUACAGGCGUGAGCCACCACAGCCAGCCUCGAAUGUGAGUGGUUUUUGUUGUUGUUGUUGUUGUUGUUUUUUGAGACAGAGUUUCGCUCUUGUUGCCUAGGCUGGAGUGCAGUGGCACAAUCUCGGCUCACUGCAACUUCCGCCUCCCAGGUUCAAGCGAUUCUCCUGCCUCAGCCACCCGAGUAGCUAGGACUACAGGCAUGUGCCACCACGCUCAGCUACUUUUGUUUUUUGUUUGUUUGUUUGUUUGUUUUAGUAGAGAUGGGGUUUCACUUUGUUGGUUAGGCUGGUCUUGAACCCCUGACCUCAGGUGAUCCGCCCACCUAGGCCCCCCAAAGUAUUGGGAUUACAGGAGUGAACCACUGCGCCCGGCCUCGAAUGUGAGUGCGUUAAAACCCAGAUCGGGUCUGAUUGGGGUUGGCACCCAGGUGGCUCCAUAAUUGUUGCUGUCCUGAAUUAUUGCCCUCUUUGCUACUUGGACCGAACCCCAUCUUGGGACCACCGACUUCCUCUGACUCCUGGUCAGGCUCCUGGGCGGCAAAUCCUGGCCCCUGGUAUGGUCCCGCCUGCCUCUCUGUCCCCUUGUCUACCUGACCAGACCUCUGAACUUCAAGGCCUGGAUGCCCUGUCUCUCCUCCUGUGAGGCUCUGUCCUACCUCAUGUUGGGACCUAGGGCGCUCUGUUGUACAACUCCAGGGAGCACCAUUGUGUCUUCUGUAAAUGGCAGCUCCUGGAACACAGUGAGCCCUCAAUAGGGCAUGUCAGCUGUGGGCUCAGACAUCCUUUGGGUCUGGCAGUGCUCCAUUUCAUGUGCCCUGUCACCCUCACCCCUCUUUUUCCAUCCCACUUCUCCUAGCUGGACCAAGCUAGGCGUCAUCUACAAGCCCGGUGUGCUGACCAGGGAAUGUGUGGGGCUUGGGGCAUGGGGACAAUAAAUAACAUCACUUUUCUCAUUUCCCAGGCAGGUAACCAAUUGAAAGAUAAGAUACCAUAGACAGACAUCAACUUUAUUCCUGACUAAAGCUCAAAAGAAGGGCGUGGCGUAGAUUUACAGUGACCAUCCUAACACUCACGCGCAGAGUCACACGGUCCCACACUGGGCUGGACCAGCCCUGCUAAGCCCACAAGAGGGAGAAGAGUGGAAAUCCCCUCAUCUCAAAGGCAACAUGAGAUUGGAGAAUGUACUCUCAAAUCCCCAAACAGCAACAGAAUUGUUCUGCUUGCUUCAGAGCAGAGGCUCCGCAGCCCUUUCCAGACCUCUCCCAAGCGUGGAAAUGGACGAAGGGCUGGAUGGGGCUCAGAGGGGAGGUCAGGCGGGACUCCCUCAGACAGCAGCUGGGGUUCCUCUGUUCCAGGCCCAGCUCUCACUGAAACAGGAGAGGGUGUGAAGGAAUGGAUUUGGAACUGUCAAGAACUCCUUCCUUAGUGGGCAGUGGAGCAGUGUCCACUGGCCUGCAGCCAGGCACCUCUCUCCCCCAGCCUGGGUCACUGGCAAGGGAGCAAGAAGAGUUCUGGGCUCACAGCAGGCAGUGGAGUGUAGUCACAGAGCCUGAUCCGGCUUGAAAUCCCAGAUCCUUUGCUUACUAGGCUGUGUGGCCUUAGGUGAGUUACUUAAUCUCUCCGUGCUUCAGUUUCUGCAUAUGUAAAACAGGGAUAAUAUCUAGCUCACUGGGUUAUGAUGAGACGUAAGUAACUUCAUACAAACCCCUUAGGACUGAUGCCUGGGCAUUUCUAAGUACUCAGUGAAGGCAAGCUGCUGUUUUUAUGGGCCCAGGUCUAGGAAAAAAGAAUCAAACAGCCAGGGGAAAGGGGAUGCUCUCCACUGUAUAUUAAGUUCUAUCAUAGGGACCAUUUUAGCUAAACACAGAAAAACAGAGGAGGGGGCUGGGUGUGGUGGCUCAUGCCUGUAAUCCCAGACCUUAGGAGGCUGGA